Tachysurus vachellii is the source of this 400-nucleotide long non-coding RNA. RefSeq lists it as uncharacterized. The record is from RefSeq and is a predicted model, not a curated record. The transcript is spliced from 2 exons. NCBI's taxonomy places the organism in Eukaryota, Metazoa, Chordata, Actinopteri, Siluriformes, Bagridae.
CCCUAAUCCAUGAAGACUGCUGUUUCACAGUCAACAAUGGCAGGAGUCCUUCCAAAAACAUCUUGAAAUUUCAAAAGACUGGAUCAGACUGUCCAGAGCAAGGCUUCAUUGUUGAUAUUCCUAACUAUAAAAUUCUGUGUGUUCAUGAAGUCGUCAUCAAUGGAAAACACAUUACACCUUAAGGCUGCAAUUCAGAUCACACUGCAACACACACGCACACACACACACGCACACGCACACACAUGCACACACACACACACACACACACACACACACACACUUCUUUACUAAAGUGUAAGCUUAGCCAUUUCUUCACCACAUUUAUCAACCAUUUAUUAUGACGCUUAAUGUUGUUAUUGUUGCUUAAUGCAGUGCAGAUUCAAAUAAAGUUAUCAUUGCA